GAUGAACGCUGGCGGCGUGCCUAACACAUGCAAGUCGAGCGGAUCCAUGCUUCUUCGGGGGUGUGGGUUAGCGGCGAACGGGUGAGUAACACGUGGGUAACCUGCCCCUGACUUCGGGAUAAGCCUGGGAAACUGGGUCUAAUACCGGAUAGGAGGCGCCUUCGCAUGGGGGUGUCUGGAAAGGGUUUCUGGUCAGGGAUGGGCCCGCGGCCUAUCAGCUUGUUGGUGGGGUGAUGGCCUACCAAGGCGACGACGGGUAGCCGGCCUGAGGGGGUGU
Molecule: ribosomal RNA, 277 nt
Filed under: uncultured bacterium
Lineage: Bacteria
Description: partial 16S ribosomal RNA
Rfam family: Bacterial small subunit ribosomal RNA
Source: RNAcentral